Molecule: ribosomal RNA, 253 nt
Filed under: uncultured bacterium
Lineage: Bacteria
Description: partial 16S ribosomal RNA
Rfam family: Bacterial small subunit ribosomal RNA
Source: RNAcentral
UACGUAGGGUGCAAGCGUUGUCCGGAAUUAUUGGGCGUAAAGAGCUCGUAGGCGGUCUGUCGAGUCGGACGUGAAAAUCCAGGGCUCAACCCUGGACCUGCGUUCGAUACGGGCAGACUAGAGUUCGGUAGGGGAGACUGGAAUUCCUGGUGUAGCGGUGAAAUGCGCAGAUAUCAGGAGGAACACCGGUGGCGAAGGCGGGUCUCUGGGCCGAAACUGACGCUGAGGAGCGAAAGCGUGGGGAGCAAACAGG